UUACUACUCCCUCCGUCUGAAAAUACUUGUCAUUAAAAUGGAUAAAAGAAGAUGUAUUUUAAUUCUAGAUACAUUUCUUUCUGUCUAUUUUGAUGACAAAUAUUUUUAGACGGAGGGAGUAUUCA
Triticum aestivum (bread wheat) is the source of this 125-nucleotide non-coding RNA. The record is from Rfam. NCBI's taxonomy places the organism in Eukaryota, Viridiplantae, Streptophyta, Magnoliopsida, Poales, Poaceae.